Molecule: ribosomal RNA, 497 nt
Filed under: uncultured bacterium
Lineage: Bacteria
Description: partial 16S ribosomal RNA
Rfam family: Bacterial small subunit ribosomal RNA
Source: RNAcentral
GAUGAACGCUGGCGGCGUGCCUAAUACAUGCAAGUCGAGCGAACGGACGAGAAGUUUGCUUCUCUGAUGUUAGCGGCGCACGGGUGAGUAACACGUGGAUAACCUACCUAUAAGACUGGGAUAACUUCGGGAAUCCGGAGCUAAUACCGGAUAAUAUUUUGUACCGUAUGGUUCAAAAGUGUAAGACGGUCUUGCUGUCACUUAUAGACGGUCCCGGGCUGCAUUAGCUAGUUGGUAAGGUAACGGGUUACCAAGGCAACGAUGCGUAGCCGACCUGAGAGAGUGAUCGGCCACACUGGAAGUGAGACACGGUCCAUAGUACUGCGAGAGGGAGCAGUAGGGAAUCGUCCGCAGUAGGCGAGAGCCUGACGGAGCAACGGCGCGUGAGAGAUGGAGAUGUUCGGAUCGUAAAGCUGUGUUAUUAGGUGAGAACAUAUGUGUAAGUAACUGAGCACAAAGUGACGGUACCUAAUCAGAAAGCCACGGCUAACUACGUG